This 241-nucleotide unclassified non-coding RNA is filed under the name Peniophora sp. RNAcentral describes it as "partial contains 5.8S ribosomal RNA, internal transcribed spacer 2, and large subunit ribosomal RNA". The stretch from base 1 to 52 matches the Rfam family "5.8S ribosomal RNA", at positions 103 to 154 of the family's 154-position model. The record is from RNAcentral. Lineage: Eukaryota; Fungi; Basidiomycota; Agaricomycetes; Russulales; Peniophoraceae.
AACGCACAUUGCGCCCCUUGGUAUUCCGAGGGGCAUGCCUGUUCGAGCGUCAUUACAACCCUCAAGCUCUGCUUGGUCUUGGGCCCCGCCGCUCACCCGGCGGGCCUUAAAACCAGUGGCGGUGCCGUCGGGCCCUGAGCGUAGUAAACAUCCUCGCUACAGGGACCCGGUGGACGCUGGCCAGCAACCCCCAACUUCUCAGUUUGACCUCGGAUCAGGUAGGGAUACCCGCUGAACUUAA